This 25-nucleotide small RNA is filed under the name Bombyx mori (domestic silkworm). Its description in RNAcentral is "ovarian small RNA-14421". The record is from RNAcentral. Lineage: Eukaryota; Metazoa; Arthropoda; Insecta; Lepidoptera; Bombycidae.
CGCUGUUCUACGGGGGGAGGUUUAC